GAUGAAGAACGCAGCGAAAUGCGAUAAGUAAUGUGAAUUGCAGAAUUCAGUGAAUCAUCGAAUCUUUGAACGCACAUUGCGCCCCCUGGUAUUCCGGGGGGCAUGCCUGUUCGAGCGUCAUUUCACCACUCAAGCCUCGCUUGGUAUUGGGCAACGCGGUCCGCCGCGUGCCUCAAAUCGACCGGCUGGGUCUUCUGUCCCCUAAGCGUUGUGGAAACCAUUCGCUAAAGGGUGUUCGGGAGGCUACGCCGUAAAACAACCCCAUUUCUAAGGUUGACCUCGGAUCAGGUAGGGAUACCCGCUGAACUUAAGCAUAUCAAUAAGCGGAGGA
RNAcentral lists this unclassified non-coding RNA (331 nucleotides) under soil metagenome. RNAcentral's name for it is "partial contains 5.8S ribosomal RNA, internal transcribed spacer 2, and large subunit ribosomal RNA". The stretch from base 1 to 120 matches the Rfam family "5.8S ribosomal RNA", at positions 35 to 154 of the family's 154-position model. The record is from RNAcentral.